RNAcentral lists this ribosomal RNA (24 nucleotides) under Sporothrix dentifunda. Its description in RNAcentral is "partial 28S ribosomal RNA". The record is from RNAcentral. RNAcentral also lists the same sequence under 12 other names. Lineage: Eukaryota; Fungi; Ascomycota; Sordariomycetes; Ophiostomatales; Ophiostomataceae.
UUGACCUCGGAUCAGGUAGGACUA